Molecule: ribosomal RNA, 500 nt
Filed under: uncultured Pseudomonadota bacterium
Lineage: Bacteria; Pseudomonadati; Pseudomonadota
Description: bacterial SSU rRNA
Rfam family: Bacterial small subunit ribosomal RNA
Source: RNAcentral
CCCGUAGAUGCAGCAACGCCGCGUGAGUGAUGACGGUCUUCGGAUUGUAAAGCUCUGUCUUCAGGGACGAUAAUGACGGUACCUGAGGAGGAAGCCACGGCUAACUACGUGCCAGCAGCCGCGGUAAUACGUAGGGUGCAAGCGUUAAUCGGAAUUACUGGGCGUAAAGCGUACGCAGGCGGCUUUGCAAGACAGGUGUGAAAUCCCCGGGCUAACCUGGGAACUGCAUUUGUGACUGCAUGGCUAGAGUCUGUCAGAGGGGGGUGGAAUUCCACGUGUAGCAGUGAAAUGCGUAGAGAUGUGGAAGAACACCGAUGGCGAAGGCAGCCCCCUGGGAUGAGACUGACGCUCAAUGUACGAAAGCGUGGGGAGCAAACAGGAUUAGAUACCCUGGUAGUCCACGCCCUAAACGAUGUCUACUAGUUGUCGGAGGGUAACUCCUUCGGUAACGCAGCUAACGCGUGAAGUAGACCGCCUGGGGAGUACGGUCGCAAGACUUA